This 451-nucleotide ribosomal RNA is filed under the name uncultured bacterium. Its description in RNAcentral is "bacterial SSU rRNA". It matches the Rfam family "Bacterial small subunit ribosomal RNA", at positions 354 to 796 of the family's 1533-position model. The record is from RNAcentral.
GUGAGGAAUUUUGCGCAAUGGGGGCAACCCUGACGCAGCAACGCCGCGUGAGUGAAGAAGGCCUUUGGGUCGUAAAGCUCUGUCAAUCGGGAAGAAAUUACAAGAGUCGAACAGGCUUUUGUAUUGACGGUACCGGUGAAGGAAGCAUCGGCUAACUCCGUGCCAGCAGCCGCGGUAAUACGGGGGAUGCAAGCGUUAUUCGGAAUUAUUGGGCGUAAAGGGCGCGUAGGCGGUUUUGUCGGUCAGAUGUGAAAGCCCAGGGCUCAACCCUGGACGUGCAUUUGAAACAGCAAGACUUGAGUACGGGAGAGGAAAGCGGAAUUCCUGGUGUAGAGGUGAAAUUCGUAGAUAUCAGGAGGAACACCGAUGGCGAAGGCAGCUUUCUGGACCGAUACUGACGCUGAGGCGCGAAGGCGUGGGUAGCGAACAGGAUUAGAAACCCCGGUAGUCC